Molecule: ribosomal RNA, 505 nt
Filed under: uncultured bacterium
Lineage: Bacteria
Description: partial 16S ribosomal RNA
Rfam family: Bacterial small subunit ribosomal RNA
Source: RNAcentral
AUUGAACGCUGGCGGCAGGCCUAACACAUGCAAGUCGAACGGCAGCACAGAAGAGCUUGCUCUUUGGGUGGCGAGUGGCGGACGGGUGAGUAAUGUCUGGGAAACUGCCCGAUGGAGGGGGAUAACUACUGGAAACGGUAGCUAAUACCGCGAACGUCGCAAGACCAAAGUGGGGGCCGUUCGGGCCUCACACCAUCGGAUGUGCCCAGAUGGGAUGAGCUAGUAGGUGGGGUAACGGCUCACCUAGGCGACGAUCCCUAGCUGGUCUGAGAGGAUGACCAGCCACACUGGAACUGAGACACGGUCCAGACUCCUACGGGAGGCAGCAGUGGGGAAUAUUGCACAAUGGGCGCAAGCCUGAUGCAGCCAUGCCGCGUGUAUGAAGAAGGCCUUCGGGUUGUAAAGUACUUUCAGCGGGGAGGAAGGCGGUGAGGUUAAUAACCUCGCCGAUUGACGUUACCCGCAGAAGAAGCACCGGCUAACUCCGUGCCAGCCGCCGCCGUAA